RNAcentral lists this transfer RNA (72 nucleotides) under Cytophagales bacterium. RNAcentral's name for it is "tRNA-Thr". It matches the Rfam family "tRNA". From Rfam's summary of the family: Transfer RNA (tRNA) molecules are approximately 80 nucleotides in length. The record is from RNAcentral. RNAcentral also lists the same sequence under 1 other name. Lineage: Bacteria; Pseudomonadati; Bacteroidota; Cytophagia; Cytophagales.
GCCGUCGUAGCUCAGGGGUAGAGCACUUCCUUGGUAAGGAAGAGGUCGUGGGUUCAAAUCCCAUCGUCGGCU